Wasmannia auropunctata (little fire ant) is the source of this 204-nucleotide long non-coding RNA. RefSeq lists it as uncharacterized. The transcript has 2 exons. The record is from RefSeq and is a predicted model, not a curated record. Lineage: Eukaryota; Metazoa; Arthropoda; Insecta; Hymenoptera; Formicidae.
AAAGUACUUAUUGAUCUUUCUAAGGACCAGAAAAUCACUAACUUACUAAAAUUAAUUGAAGAAUUGUUUGGAGAUGCAAAAAAAGUUGAAAUUAUUAGCAAGCUAAGAAGUAAAGCCUGAUGAGUUUGUAACUGUAAAUUGUUAAAAAUGCUGAAAGAGCCAGAUCCAGUUCAAUCACAGUCUAGCCCUGAGUUGGAUCAACUU